This 492-nucleotide ribosomal RNA is filed under the name uncultured bacterium. RNAcentral describes it as "partial 16S ribosomal RNA". It matches the Rfam family "Bacterial small subunit ribosomal RNA", at positions 29 to 507 of the family's 1533-position model. The record is from RNAcentral.
AGUGAACGCUGGCGGUAGGCCUAACACAUGCAAGUCGAACGGCAGCACAGUAAGAGCUUGCUCUUACGGGUGGCGAGUGGCGGACGGGUGAGGAAUACAUCGGAAUCUACUUUUUCGUGGGGGAUAACGUAGGGAAACUUACGCUAAUACCGCAUACGACCUACGGGUGAAAGCAGGGGAUCUUCGGACCUUGCGCGAUUGAAUGAGCCGAUGUCGGAUUAGCUAGUUGGCGGGGUAAAGGCCCACCAAGGCGACGAUCCGUAGCUGGUCUGAGAGGAUGAUCAGCCACACUGGAACUGAGACACGGUCCAGACUCCUAAGGGAGGCAGCAGUGGGGAAUAUUGGACAAUGGGCGCAAGCCUGAUCCAGCCAUACCGCGUGGGUGAAGAAGGCCUUCGGGUUGUAAAGCCCUUUUGUUGGGAAAGAAAAGCAGCAGGUUAAUACCCCGCUGUUCUGACGGUACCCAAAGAAUAGGCACCGGCUAACUUCGUG